CCCUUAGACGUUCUGGGCCGCACGCGCGCUACACUGACGGAGCCAGCGAGCUUUUCCUUACCCGAGAGGUUUGGGUAAUCUUGUGAAACUCCGUCGUGCUGGGGAUAGAGCAUUGUAAUUAUUGCUCUUCAACGAGGAAUUCCUAGUAAGCGCAAGUCAUCAGCUUGCGUUGAUUACGUCCCUGCCCUUUGUACACACCGCCCGUCGCUAGUACCGAUUGAAUGGCUUAGUGAGGCUUCAGGAUUUGCUUAGAUCGAGGGGCAACUCUCUUUCAGAGCGGAGAAUCUAGUCAAACUUGGUCAUUUAGAGGAACUAAAAGUCGUAACA
Molecule: ribosomal RNA, 327 nt
Filed under: uncultured eukaryote
Lineage: Eukaryota
Description: partial 18S ribosomal RNA
Rfam family: Eukaryotic small subunit ribosomal RNA
Source: RNAcentral